CUCUUAUAAAAUUUUAAGUAAUCUCUGCCCUAUGAUUUUUAAAUGGCCGCAGUAUCUUGACUGUGCAAAGGUAGCAUAAUCAUUUGCCUUUUAAUUGGGGGCUGGAAUGAAGGAGUCGACGAGAUAUAAUCUUUUGAUUUUAGUAAUUAAAUUGACAUAAGAGUCAAAAGGCUCUUAUUUUUCUGGGGGACGAUAAGACCCUAUAAAACUUUAUUUUUCUUAAUAUCUUAUAGAAAUAGAUUAAUAGAAGAAUUCAACUGGGGCGGUUUUUACUAAACCUAUAUAAAUUUCAAUAUAAAAAAUAAAUUUAGAUAACUUAAAUAAAAAUUUAAAUAAGUUACUUUAGGGAUAACAGCAUAAUCUUCUCAGAGAGUCCAAAUCGGCGGGGAGGGUUAUGACCUCGAUGUUGAAUUGAGAAAACUUCUAUUGGGCAGCACUAUAGAAAGUCAGUCUGUUCGACUAUUAAAUUCUC
RNAcentral lists this ribosomal RNA (472 nucleotides) under Lirceolus bisetus. RNAcentral describes it as "partial 16S ribosomal RNA". It matches the Rfam family "Bacterial large subunit ribosomal RNA", at positions 1835 to 2597 of the family's 2925-position model. Lineage: Eukaryota; Metazoa; Arthropoda; Malacostraca; Isopoda; Asellidae. The record is from RNAcentral.